UGAAACAGCUGCUUGUUCUUUUAUCCUUCGAACUUCUUUUUACCGUCAUCAAAAUUUUCCCUCUUUUUUCUAAAUUUUCAGUUUCACUUCAUUUCAUCAAACCCACUCCCCCAAAUUUCACUUUCUAUUUGCCCCAAAAUUUAAAAAAUCUGUCACAAUAUCUCCUAAAUUUUCGCGUUCCUCUACUACCACGUUUUCCCUCUUCACAAUUCCUAAUUUCUCUUCCUGCAUUGCAAUCUCGAAUCUCUCCAAAAGCUUCUACUCACCAAGGCCAUCUUCAUCGACGACACCUUCUCCAAAGCCUUUCUCACUGCUGACCAAGCCUGCUCCAUCAAACUGCUUCAGCAACGAGUUGAGACAUUGGAGAGGGAGCUUGACGCUGCCAUCACCGCUGCAGCUCGCCCUCGCUCCAAGAAACGACAAGCUGAGGCCGCUCAUAAAGUCGCCGAAUCACACGCAUUGGAGAGCUGGGAAGCGUUAAAAAAUGAAGGCGCGGUGUUGGGACCCACUCACAUGGCUCUGGCAUUUUCGUAUUAUAAAGCACUCACCCACUCCAUAUACAGAGAUCAUUAGUGACCAUAAACGACACUGUUUCGAUCCAAGAUCUCAGUCACGUCACGCCAAGAUCUUCUGUUGUUCCACCACGCCAAACCCUAGGCUCCAUCGGGCAAUGCGGGAUUUAUCGAGAGAGGGUUAGCGUAAAGGUGCCAAACGAAGAAAAUGCUCGCUUUCGUUUUCGUCGUUGUUGUCACCUUCAUUUCCCUCUGAGAGUUUUGUCAGUGCCACGACCACGUUUUCACAUUCACCAUGCACCACCGCCACUCUGAACCCGUCAGAAAGUGGUCCCAUGCUGAGUACUACAUUGAGUUGGCCGACCGCGACCGCUUCCUCCUGUGGCCGCAAACUCUCUCAAAUCUAUGCCAGUCUCGCUUUCUCAGAUGGCAACUCCACCUUCCGCAUCAGCUCCCUCGGAUUGUACCUUUUUUUCUCUUUGAUUCUUCUAUUGUCAUUAUUUAAAGGUUUAUUUUUCAAAAUUUUAAUUUAAGUAUAAUCUCUUCUACUCUUUUCUAACCAUAAAAUUAUAGGAAAAUUGAAUUUUGUUAAUAAUUAUGUUGAAACCGUUUUUAAUUAGUUGAUAAUGUGAAAAUUAGCGUAUGAAUAGUUGAAAAUAGAUUCUUCUUUUAAUUUAAAUUGAUUAAUAAUUUCUUUAUAAUAAUUUAGUUAUUAGUUUAAUGAAGUGACAAUGGCUUAAGAUUUGAAUUCUGAAGGAGAUUGGCCAUGUUUAGAAAGAAGAAAUUACUAUUUAGAUGUGAAUAAUGUUUGAGUUUGACCAUUCUUUGUUAAUGAUUUCGGUGAUGUUACGAAUUUUUGUCAGUAAUGUUUUUUCUUGGAGAUUGGUUCCUGGUUUUCUUUAACCUAUUCUUUUUCUUCUGGAGAUUCAUACAAUUUGCAUUAUAUGAUAGUUGAAAUAGGGACAUCGGCAGUGAAGUUCAUGGUGGCGCUUGAUACCGAAAGUGACCUGUUCUGGGUACCCUGUGAUUGCACAAGAUGUGCUGCUACUGAUAGCCCAACCUUUGCUUCGGAUCAAAAUCAUNUGUGGAUGUGGUGAUUGGUAGAUUGCUCCUGCUUUUGACAACAUUAUGAACUAUUGUAAAGGUGUAAUAUGUAUAUAUUAUAACAUUGAACUUAAAGUUUUCAAAAAGAAUAUUUACAAAGUUCAAGUGAAUAAAACAUAAUUAUUAUUGUGAAACUGUNUGGAGGAGUAUAUGAUUAUAAUGAAAGCAUGACUACGAAGGAGGAACAAUUUCAACUAAUUAUUUUCCUAAUUGCAGAUACCAACAUACCAUGACAAUCAAAUUAUUGAAGUUAGGGAAGAUUGAUGUUUACAUGUAAUUAAUACAUGUUUAUAGGUUAUGUUAUUGUGAUGUACAUGCUUACAGGGACAAGGAUAUAUAUGUUAUGGUUGUAUAUACUAUCUUAUAAAACAAUGUCAUGUCAUGACACCUAUUUGAGACUCAAGGAUUAUAUUUUGAAAUAUUAUUGUACCAAUAGUUUUUAUUCAUACAUUGAAGUA
RNA transcript from Vigna radiata var. radiata (mung bean), 2074 nucleotides. It is a transcript of the gene named aspartyl protease family protein 1-like, with no coding region annotated. The record is from RefSeq and is a predicted model, not a curated record. The transcript is spliced from 3 exons. NCBI's taxonomy places the organism in Eukaryota, Viridiplantae, Streptophyta, Magnoliopsida, Fabales, Fabaceae.